Pantherophis guttatus is the source of this 450-nucleotide non-coding RNA. The record is from RefSeq and is a predicted model, not a curated record. NCBI's taxonomy places the organism in Eukaryota, Metazoa, Chordata, Lepidosauria, Squamata, Colubridae.
UUGCCAGUUCUCUGAACUAUUCAAAAUUUCCGCUACCUGUUCUCCAGAACCUUUCAGAACCUGCUGGAUUUCACCCCUGGUUGAGGGCCUUUCCAGCUUUUUUAUACAACAGCAGAGUGGAGGGGAACACCAGAUCUUGGAGGGGAACCUCAUUCUAGAGGGUAGGUGCUGCUACAGACAUUCUGGGAGAUGACAUUGUUUAAUUGAAGAAGCUCAGAGCACACCAACCCUACAAGAUCAAAUUGGUCAGGCAGAUAUACUUUUGUGUGCUUCUUUUUUUUCCUCCAAUGUUUUUCUUUAUGUAUUGGCAAAAAUAUUUUUAAAAAAUUAGAUGUAUUCUCAAUACAGAAUACAGAAGACUUUCUAACCCGAACUUUAUGGUAGAAAGAAGCUGGAUUUUUCUGGAAUGGCUUCUUAAACUAACUAAUUAAAAAUGAGAAAGAACAUUGG